UGGGGCGUCGACAAAUGGUAAGUCACGGGACUUUGGCUCCCGCAUUUGUAGGUUCGAAUCCUACCGCCCCAGCCA
RNAcentral lists this transfer RNA (75 nucleotides) under Pseudomonadota bacterium. Its description in RNAcentral is "Proteobacteria bacterium (marine metagenome) tRNA-Gln". It matches the Rfam family "tRNA". From Rfam's summary of the family: Transfer RNA (tRNA) molecules are approximately 80 nucleotides in length. Lineage: Bacteria; Pseudomonadati; Pseudomonadota. RNAcentral also lists the same sequence under 2 other names. The record is from RNAcentral.